UCAACCAGCAUGUUCUCAAUGCAUGAAUAAAAAUGGAAGCUGUAGAGUUGACGCUUGUGCAGUAUUGUAUGGAGCCCAUACGUGUUGGCUCUUUUCCUCCCUAAUAUUUCUAAUUAACUUCUUAACUUUUUCAAUUUAAAAAUAUUUUAAGCGAAGAAGAUUCAUCCUCCAUAGUGGGUCCCACUGUCCAAUCAUAAAACUGGACCGUGUGGUUGCACAAAUAGUAGGGUCCCGCGUGUCCAUUAAGUCUAGAAAGCAGCCAAUCAUACUCUUGUUACAAUGUUCCACGUCUCUCUCUCUCAUUCCCCA
This 309-nucleotide long non-coding RNA is filed under the name Brassica rapa (field mustard). RNAcentral describes it as "long non-coding RNA (BRAP_LNC001851)". The record is from RNAcentral. Lineage: Eukaryota; Viridiplantae; Streptophyta; Magnoliopsida; Brassicales; Brassicaceae.